CAGCUCCUGAGGCAGACAGCUAUCAAGGUGACCCAGCACCUGGGAAUUGUUGGGGAGUGCAAUGUGCAGUAUGCCUUGAACCCUGAGUCUGAGCAGGUAAGCUCUAGGCCCUGGAACUGAUAGUCUAGUUGUUACCCCCUCUUCUUGCAUAAUUUUUGGCCCUUGAGGUUGAGGUCUUUUGGGCUUACAGUCCCUGGAGUAGAAGCUGGAAUCUUCUUUACUAGGGUUGGGCCUUAGAGAGGGCCCUUUUGCUAGCCAUCCUAUGGGGAGGGCUUAUUUUCUCUCCUUUCUGAGACCUCUCCUAGACAGGGUCUUCUAGGCCAGUGACUUUAUUCUCCUUCUUUGCAGUAUUACAUCAUUGAAGUGAAUGCCAGGCUCUCUCGCAGCUCUGCCCUGGCCAGUAAGGCCACAGGUUAUCCACUGGCUUAUGUGGCAGCCAAGCUAGCAUUGGGCAUCCCUUUGCCUGAGCUCAGGAACUCUGUGACAGGGGGUACAGCAGCCUUUGAACCCAGCCUGGAUUAUUGUGUGGUGAAGAUUCCUCGAUGGGACCUUAGCAAGUUCCUGCGAGUCAGCACAAAGAUUGGGAGCUGCAUGAAGAGCGUUGGUGAAGUCAUGGGCAUUGGGCGUUCAUUUGAGGAGGCCUUCCAGAAGGCCCUGCGCAUGGUGGAUGAGAACUGUGUGGGCUUUGAUCACACAGUGAAACCAGUCA
This 709-nucleotide small RNA is filed under the name Pan troglodytes (chimpanzee). RNAcentral's name for it is "retained intron". The record is from RNAcentral. Lineage: Eukaryota; Metazoa; Chordata; Mammalia; Primates; Hominidae.